GGUGAGGGCAACUAGUCAACAUCUGUCACUCCAUUGCUUGUCAGGAUUCUUUUAGCUGAUUUGUCUGACUGGGCAGGUGUCCCCUCUCUCCCUCAGUGCUCCAUGUGCAUCCCUCUUGAAGCUUCGCACUCUGUUGAAGAGGACACCAUCCCAGGUAGAGAGGGGGACGGGAAACUGGGCCAA
RNAcentral lists this small nuclear RNA (183 nucleotides) under Mustela putorius furo (domestic ferret). Its description in RNAcentral is "7SK RNA". The stretch from base 1 to 164 matches the Rfam family "7SK RNA", at positions 4 to 171 of the family's 331-position model. From Rfam's summary of the family: 7SK was discovered as an abundant small nuclear RNA in the mid-70s but a possible function has only recently been suggested. Two independent studies have found that 7SK RNA binds the CDK9/cyclin T complex (known as elongation factor P-TEFb). The record is from Rfam by way of RNAcentral. Lineage: Eukaryota; Metazoa; Chordata; Mammalia; Carnivora; Mustelidae.